UCAGACUGGGAGGGGAGGCCGGGGGAAGGGCACCCAUAGACUUUCCUGAAAGUACAGCUACGGGCAGAGCUUGAGAAAUCCCAGCAGGAUACUGACCCAGGAUGAGGCGCUCCUGGAUUCACCAGGCACCGGGCCAGGAUCACUGGAGAACCGGAGGCCUCCCAUGGGCCCAGACUUCACACCCCCCCUUGUCUCCAUGAACAUCAGGGUCCACGCCUCUGUCCCCUCCCUGUGAUCAGGAGCCAGAAGCUGGGUGAGUGGGACAGUCCCCCCAUCACUGCCGAGCUGCUCCCCUGCUAUCCCAGCCCCUGCUCCUCCUGGCCAGGCCCCGAACCCCGUUCCAGGCCCGUAUGCCAUUUGCCGUGCCUCAGCUUUGCUGCCAUUCUGACGAGGAAUAAGUGUAUCAAAUUCAAGUAAUUAUGUCUAAUUAGUAUUAGUAAUUAUCCUCUGGGGCUGGAGAAAAUUAAUCUUUCGUUUCCCAUCGGGGAAGAACAGCAGAGCCAGGGGAAUCGAAGGCUCCAGGAGCACCAAGCCCGGGGCGGUGGGGGCAGCAGUGCGCGCCCUCCCCGGGCCCGAGUCACCCGUGGGAAGAUGGUGGCAAUGGCCCCCGGGCCCCAGGGCCAGCCGUGGACAGCGACACUGCCCUCUCACCUCAGCCGACCUGAGACAGGGUGGGGCCUGAGGCCAGAAGGCCACGGCCGAGAGAGGUCUGCACUCAGAGCUGGGCAGCUGGCCGGGUGCCCGGGGUUAGUGACAGGCAGAGACGCGCCCUGAAGCUGAACAAGCCGGAGGGAGGGGCCAGCGGCCGACACCAGGCCCCGGACCAGCCCCGCAAGCACAGGGGUCAAGUUUCUGGAAUCCAAGGGACAGGAAGAUGCGCGCGGAAGCCACUAGAAGUAACAAAGAUAAUGAGAUGUUAACAUCGCCCGGUGAGCGGAGACAUGUGUGAGUGUGUGCGAGGUCGGCACGCGGCGGAGGGGACGCGGCUCCGGUGGCGCCUGGCCAUGUGUUCCGGGGACGUCGGCGAGCGUUUGCGGGUACUGGCAGUUACGUGGCAUGGGGAGGACAGUCUCGACUUCAGAUCUACCGCAGCCAGCACCCCUCCACCAGCGGGGCCUCCAGACUGGGGGCAGUGGUGGCGCACGCGCAGCAGGGCGGGGUGUCGGCUUCUCAGGGCCUCACCUCCAACAAGGAGCACACUCAGGGCCCUCACCUCCAACAAGGAGCACACUCAGGGCCCUCACCUCCAACAAGGAGCACACUCAGGGCCCUCACCUCCAACAAGGGGCACACUCAGGAGGCUCCACCUCUUCUGGACACGGGGCAGAGUCCGCUCGGCCUCCAGCUUCUCUCUAAACUCAGUCUUCUCUGAGCAAAGACCCCCCCCCCCCGCCUCUCACUGCAGACCUGAGGACGGUUACCAGGUUUGUCCCAGGCAGCUCUGUCCCCUCCCGCCUCCCUCCCUGCCCGCCCGGCAAACUUGACUGAGAUGUGGCCCUGGUGCCAGAGGGCCCCGGUGUCCCCAGCAUCACCUGCCUCGGCUCCAGACGCUGAUGCCACCUGUCAGCACGAGGCUAUCUGUCCCC
This is a non-coding RNA of Delphinapterus leucas (beluga whale), 1586 nucleotides long. The record is from RefSeq and is a predicted model, not a curated record. Lineage: Eukaryota; Metazoa; Chordata; Mammalia; Artiodactyla; Monodontidae.